RNAcentral lists this ribosomal RNA (319 nucleotides) under uncultured eukaryote. Its description in RNAcentral is "partial 18S ribosomal RNA". It matches the Rfam family "Eukaryotic small subunit ribosomal RNA", at positions 1470 to 1796 of the family's 1831-position model. The record is from RNAcentral.
CCCUUAGAUGUUCUGGGCAGCACGCUCGCUACAAUGGUCUUCGCAAACGGAUGCAUUCUCGAAGGAGAAUGCCAAUCUUGGAAUCUAUGCCUUGGUCGGGACAGUUGCUUGCAAUUUUUCGACUCGAACCAGGAAUUCCUUGUAAUCGUGAUUCAUCACAUCACGAUGAAUACGUCCCUGCCCUUUGUACACACCGCCCGUCGCUCCUACCGAUCGAAGAGUUAGGUGAAUUGUUUUGAUCGAUAAGAUUUGACUAUGGUCAACUCUCGUUGUGAAAUUCUGUGAAUCUGACUGUUUAGAGGAAGGAAAAGUCGUAACA